This 332-nucleotide ribosomal RNA is filed under the name uncultured Gemmatimonadota bacterium. RNAcentral's name for it is "bacterial SSU rRNA". It matches the Rfam family "Bacterial small subunit ribosomal RNA", at positions 568 to 898 of the family's 1533-position model. Lineage: Bacteria; Pseudomonadati; Gemmatimonadota. The record is from RNAcentral.
CGCGUAGGCGGCGCGGAUAGUCGGCGGUGAAAGCCCGGAGCUCAACUCCGGGUCGGCCGUCGAUACUUCCGGGCUUGAGCACUGUAGAGGCAGAUGGAAUUCCGGGUGUAGCGGUGGAAUGCGUAGAGAUCCGGAAGAACACCGGUGGCGAAGGCGGUCUGCUGGGCAGUUGCUGACGCUGAUGCGCGACAGCGUGGGGAGCAAACAGGAUUAGAUACCCUGGUAGUCCACGCCGUAAACGAUGGGCACUAGGUGCUUGGGGGAGCGACCCUCUGAGUGCCGGCGCUAACGCAUUAAGUGCCCCGCCUGGGGAGUACGGCCGCAAGGCUGAA